CUUGUAACAACGUGGAUAAUCAAAUAUACUAGAUACAAUAGAGUUGCCUUUUCUCUAAAGAUUGCAACUGGUAUAUGUAUAAAUACAAUGUACACACAAACGAAUGUUUACUUCAACUUCUGUGGAAAACAUUAUAUGUAUAAAUAACAUGAGCUUAUAAAGACAAACUGCGAUUUUAAAAACCACAAUCUAAUCAACUCUACCCUAAGAGGGAAGUAAAGAAGUAUAUGCAUAAAUCUAAUGAAUAUAUUGAAAUGUCCAUUGAAUUUAAAAGGUCAUCAUAAAAGGUUUUAAUGCGAUUGAAAAGUAUAUACUUCGACGUUUAAAAAAAACUGAUUCAAAAC
RNAcentral lists this long non-coding RNA (344 nucleotides) under Drosophila guanche. The record is from RNAcentral. Lineage: Eukaryota; Metazoa; Arthropoda; Insecta; Diptera; Drosophilidae.